Molecule: long non-coding RNA, 1346 nt
Organism: Oreochromis aureus
Lineage: Eukaryota; Metazoa; Chordata; Actinopteri; Cichliformes; Cichlidae
Source: Ensembl
CUUUAUUAACAUUAAAAAAGUUGAAGAGAAGCUGCACAUGAAUAAGAACUUUACAUUAUUCGCACAUGUUAGUGUCUCUGCAUGAAAAGAUAAACAAAUACAAAAUAUUUGGAUAACCUUGUAGCUCAGUAUCAGGAAAGAAAUAUCGGAGUUUGCAUGUACAUGAAUCUUUAGUUUCAUAUAAAUCUGAGUUUGUGUGGUUCAAACCUCACAGAGUAAGGCGAGUUUACAAGCAGCUGCUGAUCCUGAAGUUAAAAAUACAAAAACACUCACAGAUUCAGAGAUUAUUGCACAUGACUUCAUACAUGUUUGUAACAGUUUAACAUUGUUUCAGUAAAUCCCAGGAACAACAGCACAGACAAACACUCUGAGUGUCAACAUGAUAUCAGAGAAAUGAUAAAGAUAAUCAAACUCUGGAUGUUUCUAAUCUACAGCCUGUCCUCAGAUCAUCCAACUCAUAGUUCUGCUGUGGAGUCUGACGAGGUGGAGUAGUGUUUCGGGACAGUCGACAUUUGUAUGUGCAAAACCCAACAACAGCAAUCACAAGACAAAGUGACAGAGCAACUCCCAGUCCACAUGUCAGUUCAUAUAAUCCAUCCUUUCUGUGCCAUCCUGUCUGACCUGCAGGUGAGAAACAGGUGUGAGGUGUCAGCUGUCAGGUAGGUGAUGAGUGAAGAACAGAACAGAAUCCAUUUCCUCUUCAAACUGCUGUCAGACAUUAUCUACUGCACUCUGAUCACAUCACUCAGACCAGCUGCUUUCUACAAAGUCUCAUCAACAACCAGGAAGCAGCUUCACCUCUGAUCACACACACACUCAACUCUACUCACUCACCUGGAGGAACAACAUGAAGGUAGAUGAUGCUUGUGAUGUCUUCAUGCCAGUGUGUUCGUCUCAUGAUGACACGACACUCAUAUGUUCCACUAUCAGCAGCCCUCACAUCCUUCAGAAUCAAAGACACGUCUCCAUCCUUCAUCCGUCUGUCCCACAGAUCCACCCGGUUCUUAAAAUAUGGAUGCUGGUUGUCUGGAAGAAAGUAUCCAUCCCGGUACAAGAGCACAUAUUCAUCUACCAGGUCAGCUCUGCUCCACUCAACGAGUCUGAUGUUGUUGUUUGGAGCUCGACAUGUCAGAGUGACGUCCUGUCCAGACUCAGCUGUGAUGAUUUUCUGGUCUGAAAGAGGAAACAAGACAGAGCAGAGAGGUUAAAGGUCAAAGUAUGGCUGAUCACUUCUACAAUAGCCAAUCAGAGAGAGGAAGGGAGAACACUUUCUUUCCAAAUUUAAAGGUAUACAAUCAUAGUAAUAAGUGUUAUAUAGCAUAAAAUAUACUGAAACUAUAUUUCAG